AUUGAACGCUGGCGGCAUGCUUUACACAUGCAAGUCGUGCGGCAGCGCGGGACUCGGGCAACCGAGCUCUGGCGGCGAGCGGCGAACGGGUGAGGAAUACAUCGGAACGUACCCGGAGUGGGGGAUAACCCAGCGAAAGUUGGACUAAUACCGCAUAUGCUCUGAGGAGGAAAGCAGGGGACUUCGCAAGAGGCCUUGCGCUCUGGGAGCGGCCGAUGUCCGAUUAGCUAGUUGGUGGGGUAAUGGCUCACCAAGGCGACGAUCAGUAGCUGGUCUGAGAGGAUGAUCAGCCACACUGGGACUGAGACACGGCCCAGACUCCUACGGGAGGCAGCAGUGGGAAUUUUGGACAAUGGGGCAACCCUGAUCCAGCCAUGCCGCGUGCGGGAAGAAGGCCU
Molecule: ribosomal RNA, 398 nt
Filed under: uncultured bacterium
Lineage: Bacteria
Description: bacterial SSU rRNA
Rfam family: Bacterial small subunit ribosomal RNA
Source: RNAcentral